RNAcentral lists this ribosomal RNA (490 nucleotides) under uncultured bacterium. RNAcentral's name for it is "bacterial SSU rRNA". It matches the Rfam family "Bacterial small subunit ribosomal RNA", at positions 9 to 518 of the family's 1533-position model. The record is from RNAcentral.
AGAGUUGAUCCUGGCUAGGACGAACGCUGGCGGCGUGCCUAACACAUGCAAGUCGAGCGAGGAGAUCCUUCGGGAUGAUCCUAGCGGCGGACGGGUGAGUAACACGUGGGCAACCUGCCUCAUAGAGAGGAAUAGCCUUCCGAAAGGGAGAUUAAUACCUCAUAACAUUGCAGUUUCGCAUGGAACAGCAAUUAAAGGAGUAAUCCGCUAUGAGAUGGGCCCGCGGCGCAUUAGCUAGUUGGUGAGGUAACGGCUCACCAAGGCGACGAUGCGUAGCCGACCUGAGAGGGUGAUCGGCCACAUUGGGACUGAGACACGGCCCGGACUCCUACGGGAGGCAGCAGUGGGGAAUAUUGCACAAUGGGGGAAACCCUGAUGCAGCAACGCCGCGUGAGUGAUGACGGCCUUCGGGUUGUAAAGCUCUGUCUUCAGGGACGAUAAUGACGGUACCUGAGGAGGAAGCCACGGCUAACUACGUGCCAGCCGCGGC